RNAcentral lists this ribosomal RNA (866 nucleotides) under marine metagenome. RNAcentral's name for it is "bacterial SSU rRNA". It matches the Rfam family "Bacterial small subunit ribosomal RNA", at positions 589 to 1457 of the family's 1533-position model. The record is from RNAcentral.
CGGAUGUGAAAAUCUGGGGCUUAACCCCAGACCUGCAUUCGAUACGGGCGAGCUAGAGUGUGGUAGGGGAGACUGGAAUUCCUGGUGUAGCGGUGGAAUGCGCAGAUAUCAGGAGGAACACCAAUGGCGAAGGCAGGUCUCUGGGCCAUUACUGACACUGAGGAGCGAAAGCGUGGGGAGCGAACAGGAUUAGAUACCCUGGUAGUCCACGCCGUAAACGGUGGGCACUAGUUGUGGGAACCUUCCACGGUUUCUGCGACGCAGCUAACGCAUUAAGUGCCCCGCCUGGGGAGUACGAUCGCAAGAUUAAAACUCAAAGGAAUUGACGGGGCCCCGCACAAGCAGCGGAGCAUGCGGCUUAAUUCGACGCAACGCGAAGAACCUUACCAAGGCUUGACAUAUACAGGAAUAUGGCAGAAAUGUCAUAGCCGCAAGGUCUGUAUACAGGUGGUGCAUGGUUGUCGUCAGCUCGUGUCGUGAGAUGUUGGGUUAAGUCCCGCAACGAGCGCAACCCUCGUUCUGUGUUGCCAGCAUUUAGUUGGGGACUCACAGGAGACUGCCGGGGUUAACUCGGAGGAAGGUGGGGAUGACGUCAAAUCAUCAUGCCCCUUAUGUCUUGGGCUGCACGCAUGCUACAAUGGCUGGUACAAACGGCUGCGAUACCGCAAGGUGGAGCGAAUCCGAUAAAGCCAGUCUCAGUUCGGAUUGGGGUCUGCAACUCGACCCCAUGAAGUCGGAGUUGCUAGUAAUCGUAGAUCAGCAACGCUACGGUGAAUACGUUCCCGGGGCUUGUACACACCGCCCGUCACGUCACGAAAGUCGGUAACACCCGAAGUCAGUGGCCCAACCGUAAGGGGGGAGCUGCC